This 561-nucleotide ribosomal RNA is filed under the name uncultured bacterium. RNAcentral describes it as "bacterial SSU rRNA". It matches the Rfam family "Bacterial small subunit ribosomal RNA", at positions 1 to 514 of the family's 1533-position model. The record is from RNAcentral.
CUAUCGGUACUCCGAAUGCAUCCAGAUGGNUUGAAAUGAUCAUGGCUCAGAGUGAACCGCUGGCGUUAAGGCCUAACGCAUGCAAGUCGAGCGGCAGCACAGAGGAGCUUGCUCCUUGGGUGGCGAGUGGCGGACGGGUGAGGAAUACAUCGGAAUCUACUCUGUCGUGGGGGAUAACGUAGGGAAACUUACGCUAAUACCGCAUACGACCUACGGGUGAAAGCAGGGGAUCUUCGGACCUUGCGCGAUUGAAUGAGCCGAUGUCGGAUUAGCUAGUUGGCGGGGUAAAGGCCCACCAAGGCGACGAUCCGUAGCUGGUCUGAGAGGAUGAUCAGCCACACUGGAACUGAGACACGGUCCAGACUCCUACGGGAGGCAGCAGUGGGGAAUAUUGGACAAUGGGCGCAAGCCUGAUCCAGCACAUACCGCGUGGGUGAAGAAGGCCUUCGGGUUGUAAAGCCCUUNUGUAGGGANAAGAACAUCCAGGACUGGCUAAUACCCGGUUUGGGAUGACGGUACCCAAANGAAUAAAGCACCNGGCUAACUUCAGUUGCCAGACAG